AGAAGGUAAUGUAAUGACUUGUCCCUUCCCCAAAGCAGCAAAGAGCAACUAGAAAAAAAGCAGGACCAAGAUUUUCAGUGCUUACAUUAGAAUUAACAGAAAAGAAACUAAAUAUGUGUAGAUAAAUAUGUAUGUACAUAUAAACAGAUAAACUAGUGUCCAGGAUAAUAAAUGAACAACAAUCAGUAAUAGAACCAGCAGGUUUAUAUCUGAAAGACCUGUUUAAUUAUUCCUUUUCACUUUAUAAGCUCUUCUUAAUUAUUUUUUAAAGCAUUUCAAUUAUAAAUGCAGAACGUAUUUUUAUGUGUGGUAGAGGGAAAAGGACCAGGAAAACUCAUCAUAAUCCAUUAUUAAACGUUCAGAUGUGAAAAAGAGCAGUAGGAAGAAUGCAGCUGCGUGUGCACUUGGCUUGCUUCUACAAAGAUGUGCAGCAGAGGGCACCACAGAUGGCACACAGGAGAGUGCUGCUUUGAAGCUGUUAGGCUCUGCUCCGUAAUUACACAGCUCUGAUAAAACAGGUACGAUUGGUAAGUAAACGUUUGCUUUAUAAGACAGCCUGUUACCAGAAAUUCCCUUAAGACUGCCUAUUUUUUAUAAACGUGCUCUUAUCAGAACACUUGUGAAGGGAGCUCUGCUGUGAAAUAGUCUGUAUGAGAUGUCUGAUGCCGACUUCCAAGAAUGUUCUGUAACUGCAGAGGAAGAGCCUGUCUGGAUCAGAAACUAUUGUAGUCAUUACAUGCUACAGAUAAAAGAGCAACACAGAGCAAAAAUGUGCAUGUAUCUUAGUGCCAAGAUACUAAGUUGCUUGAUACUGACUUUUCCUACAUAAAUCACUGCAUCAGUAGAAUAAAUAAACUUAUGUUAUUUCCUUUUCUUUGUUGCAUGCCUUAUCAAAAGAUGCUUUCUCCUUUUAUGUGCAGUCAGUCUCCUACAUUCAGUUUACAUGAUUGCAGUGGUCUGUAUUUCUCACCAAAAAGUCUGUCCUUACCCCUUUUAGCAGACUGGCUGGCAGACCAGUGGAUCUGAUAGGUUUACUUUGAGUUAACAUCAAAUAGCAUGGGAAAUCCAGUAUCUCACACACACCUAAAACAAAGACAAACUUCUCCAAACUGUAGUGAUUCAGGGCAAGCAGAAGUGUUUGGAACAUUGAGGAGUGUUAAGGAGAUAGAUAGAAGCUUAAACACUAAAGCAAGAACAGGAAAAACAAAAUCCCCACCGGCCAUUUAAGAGCUUGCUGGGAGUACGCCUACUACGUUCCAUCAAGCUUCAGUCUCUUGCUGCCUCCCUUGGCUACGGUGUGGACAAUUGCUGGAAGGACAGACAUUUUGUGAGCCAGCAGAUUUUACUGUGCAAAGUUAGGAUGCAACAGGAGCCAGAUCUAUCACCUGCCAGCUACACUAACAGUUACUGAUCUUUUCCUAAAGAGCAAAGCCUGAAGGAAAAAGGGAAAAGAAAGGGAGAUGAAUAGUCAUUCUCUACUAGCAGCUAACAACCUCAAAUGGGAUAGCCCCUUCCAACUGAUAUGUUUGGGUUUUGAAGAAAAAAGAAGGAAAAGAGGAAGAACUUAUAUGUUUUCAGUUCACCUGACUAUGGAGGGAGAAACACCUGCAGCAGUCCGUUCUGCAGAGAACCAAACCACCAUGCGAGCAAGUGGGGUUUUUUGUUACCUUCUCUUCUUGUUGUUGUUUUGUUUUUCAGAAGCAAAUUCUAGCAGGCCUUUCUUAAAAAGGAAAAGUGGUUUUCAUCUAACUUCUAUUACAGGGAUCCAACAUUUUCUUGUGCUUUUAGGAGCAAUAAUUUAUUUUAGGCAGCAGGGCAGUUAUCUGAGACAAAGAAACGCCAAGUGAACUAAAUAAAAGAAUGCCUUUUCCUAAUUCAGCAUAAAUGCCAUGAGAAGUUCAUUGGCGAUAAUUAAGCUGCAAAUAGAACUCUGUCUGAGCACUCAAAUAGACAAACCUUAUUUGCUGAGAAGUUUGAGCUUCACCAGUACUAUCAUAAGGAUAUUUCAAUCCUUCACCAGUCUGCAAACUGCCCUAAAAUAGACCAAGACUCCUGAAUAUUGAGGGAUUCUCUCUCUGGAAUCCAAAUCACUGCACCAUCUUCCCUGUUUUAAAACUGCUGCAAGGAUGUAACUGCAAACUGUAAAAAUAAAAGUAAAUUCAUUUAAGAGGAAAUCAGCUGCAGCAGCUUCAGGACUUGCAAAAGUUACACGAAAAUAAGAAUAGGAUUUUAUAAUGGGAACUUGGGCAUUCUACUGCUUUUAUUAUUCUUUUGAAGAGCAUGUUGGGAGGGAGUAUAAAGUGAGAAGAUAUUUUGAAACAUCCAGACCUCUGUGGAAGUGACUCAGCUGGAAAUAAAACACAAAGACUGCCUUGCUGCUGAAUAACCUACUGGUCUCUCACAUACAAGUAACAAAUAUAAACGUCAGACUCUUCAUCUGUUGCCUUCCGUAUCAAAAUCCCGGGAGUGCUGAGCUAUAAAAGAAUCAGGCAAAUAAACAGCACCGCCUUCUGCAUCGAGCACCUAUAUACUUCUAACAGAUUAAUACCUAAUAUUUACCUGUUACCACAUUCUCCACUGCUAGGAAUAACAUGAGAAUUUGGGCUGAAGUGUCUGUGUGUCAGGUAAAUACAUAACAAGUGCUGAAUGGUGAGAGGAAUGUGGGGGGCUGACAGCUCCCUCCACCCUCCUUGCAGCCCCCAGCAACAGCCACCCUUACUGUCUGACCAGUUGGGCUCUGACAAACCCACGGCCAACAGCGGUAGUUUUCAGGUAGCUAUGUAUCAUCCCAUAGAAGUAGGAAGUGCAUUUAAUGGAUUGAUUUGUAAACAUUUAUAUACUUGUAAAAUUCCAAAUCUGGUUUAACUGAACAUUGAAUAAACAUGUUAUUAGGAAAAAAUCUGAUGAUUAAAAAAACGUGUUAAAGGGAAAAUAUGUUGAAACAAACAAAUGAAAGACAUUUGUGUUAAAACGUAACUGGAAAGCAAGAAUGUCUUCUGUUCCAAUGUUGAUGUGACAGCAUGAACAUAAUGGUCAAUAGAACAUAUUCUUGGAAACAGCUGCACCAUUUCCUCCGGAUUAGGAAAAGGUAAAAUGUCUUGUUUAUUUUUUAUUCUCCUUUUGUUGGCAAAGCUGUCAAGAGCAUGAGAACUCAGGUGUGAUUUUGCUCCUUAAACCCAAAAUUGCCAGCUGCUGUACAUUAAAAAUACUCAUGCCAAAAUCUGUUCUUUCAUUUAUGUGAGAGCUGCACUGCUGCUGCCAUGGCCUCAGGUUUGUGCCAACAGGUAAAACUCAGGAUGGACUUCAGACCUUUGUUAUUAACUAUUUAAUAAUGCCUGGGGAAAGUGAAGUAAGAGGGUGACAUAGGAGCCUGUUCUGACACCGAGGACUGUGGGUCAUGUGAAUAAUGAGAAGGGUGGGGCAGGUGAUUAACACAGUCCUGCUUCAUUUUUGAAAGCCUAGAUUAACAUCAGCUCUGUGUCACUAUUCAAAAUGCAUUUGGAGAUUUUAAUUUAAGUUACUAAUGUUAAUUGGUCCGCACCACAAAAUGCCAGGGACACCGUGAUGCAAUUUGGACAAAAAGCAACCUUUGCUUUGGAGGGUCCUGAGGUUCAGUACAGAAUAUGCCAAAUAUCCAACAGCAAAGAUGUGUUGGUUUACUGGGUUUUGUCGUUUGUUUUUUCACUGGAGGAGAGGUGAAAACACGAUUCAAACAUACACAGGAAUCGAACCAAAACAUGUCAUACGGGGUUGUCGUGUGAGCAGUUCUGGAUGCUGUAAGAUUCACUGGCCUUCACUGAAGGCUUCUCUGUACCUUCUUCUCAGAUACAUUCGUAGCCCUUUCACACCCUGUGUGAAGACUCUUUCUGUAUACAUAUUUGUAGACCAGUCUUUUCUCUCUACUCCAACAAAGCUCAAAUGCUGCUGUAAGUCCUCUUCUAUAUUUGGGCAUGGAAGAAGGUAGGACAUUUUGCUUUGUUUUGCUUCGAUUCACUGCUGUUGGCAAUGAAAACCACAACCAUCCUGAGCCCGGUUUGGGGGAUCUUCUUCCAGGCUGCUUCAUGCCUUGUUUUGGGACUGGGCUCUGGGAAGUGCUGAGCCGAAAGAGCCGUGAGGACGUCCUGCAGCCAAAAAGGCAUCCAGCUCACUGUUAGAAGAAGGUAUGAAUUAAAAGUUUCAUUAAUAAAUCACAGAAUCUGUGCACAUAAAUACAAAUUCCUAUAAUAUAAAAUUCUCCCAGGCUGAUCCCAAAGGGAGUUCAGUGCUUAAAGAAUAGAAUAGAACAAAUUUAUACUAUUCUCUAAAGACAAAAUCUUCUGGCACAAACAGGAGUUUGGAGCUAAGGGCUGAAAGCUUUUUUGCACUGGAAAAUUGACUGGAAUUGCUAUUGCAGAACAAGCUAUUCUGCAACAGCUCACCAUCUGACCCGUGACUUUUCCAGACUAGAAUAUCCACACAGGGAACUAUUAUGGAACAGUUUAUUCAGAAAUAGCUAUUGUGGUCAGUCCUCCUGCACAGAUAAAUGCAUGGUGUCCAUGAAUACCUAUAGCAAGGGGGAAAAGGGCUUUUUUUUUUUUUUUUUUUUUUUUUUUGCUUGUUCAUUUUGUUUUCUUAUUACAGGAUAGCACUUAAUGUCAGAUAUAUAGCAUGGCCAAAUGGUAAAGCAGACAGGGAACUUCCAGUCAGGUCAUCAUGCAAUUGACUAACACCCAUCAUUGAAUUUCCUAACAUAAUACAUGCUCAUACUACAAUCACUUACAUGCUAAGAACAUCUCUACAUCUGCAAGGCUGUGUUCAUCACAGGAUGUUGCAUCAGCUUAAGCAAAUAAUUAGAAACAUCCCUAAUCAAAUCAGUGAAAAAAACAUUAACAAACGCAUUUGUUGAAGUCUCUGAUUGACAGAACUCACAUCUCAGUCAUCGCUCAUGAUAACAUCAUGUACAUUAUUAGAAAGAAACAUACUACAGUUCCACACAUCUGCAACAACCACUCAUUGUUGACAUUAGCUUAUUAAUUUCACUAAAUAACAAAUAUCCAACUGAUGCCAGCAGUACCUCUUUUGGGUCAAGAAUUCCUGUUUGUGCCAUAAGCACGGUCAGCUGCCAGCUGUGUCUGGCACUUUACCAGAGAGACAGCUCCUUUCUAAACAUCCAGGCAGUGUUCAUUUAUUAUUUCACUAUUUUUCUGCAUAUCUUCCUUUGUUCUGUUAAAAACUAGUUGAGUCCUAGAGAAAAAAAAUACAUAUAUCCUAUAAAAGCUAGGUUGGUUGAAAUUCAAGCUUACCUCCAGAAACUGCAUUCAACAGCUAAUGGUGUCAUAUUGUUAAAUGAAGGGAGAGUAAGUAGGAGAACAAGUUGGUAAGUCUUACAGUUGUUCAAAUAAUUUUGUCUUUAAAUAGCUUUUCAAGGACUCCUGAUUAUAAAGAUCAUAAAAUAAAUAUCAAAAGAUAUAUCAUAAAAUAUAUAUGAAUAUACAACGACAUUCUUUUGCAUAUUAGAGUCUGUCAAAGAAAUAUGACAUUUUCUACAAACAGCCAUUUUUUGCCAACAAACAAAAUCUGUUACCACAGGGAAAUAAGCACUCAAACCCACACCAACGUCUUAGCAAUAAAAUGCUUAUUUGAAUAAUUGACACGAGGAAGGCGAUCAGACCACACCAGCUGUUGGGAAGGACCCAAAUCUCUGCAGAUCUGUGCAGGGAGAGCCUCUGCUGACACUGCAGCAGGCACUGCUGGCAUUUGGAAGCAAUUCCUGCUCUUCUAAGAAGUGCUGUGCUGGAGGGAGGUUUUCUGGGAAUCGUGUAUCUACCCAUGGGAACUGAUGGGAAUCAGGCUGUCUGCUCAGCUGACAGAACGGAUGGCCACGAGGAUGGGUCUGUAUCAUCUCUCUGGGGAGAGAAAAGGCUGUGGCAAAACUUUCCAGGGAGUCCAGCAGUCUGUUAGAGGGUUAUUACCCAAAGCCUUUCAUGUCACACUUAUCUGGAAAGCACCAAAAAAAUGGAAAGUAGGAAGAGAACUGAACAGCUCAUGGGCUGUGACCUGGAAGAAACAGGAUUGAAAAAAUGCUGGAAUGAAAGAGAUGAGCAUCGGGAGCAUUUGAAGUAUUUAUUUUAAAAACAGAGGGAACAAACAGCCUUCACAGGCACAGAGUCCAGGCCCAAAAGGCUGCCUGAGAGGUUUCCAUGACAGCCUGAGCACAUCUCUUGAUUUCAUAACCUUCUAUCACAUCAGUACUGUGCUUAUUCUCCUUGUGCACAGCGAGGAGCAGCACAACACAAAGCAGAAGAGGACACCAUCCUCACAUCAGAUGCAUUCAGUCGCUAAUAGUGCACAGCCUGGGGAAAACAAUCCAGUAAUUUACACGAUGCAACAGCCAAUAUGGAAACUCAUCUUGAUUUUCACUCCCACUGAAAAACUUCCCCUUCCACAAGUCACAGAAUGCCUGUUCCACAGUCUAAGUUCCUACACAAUAUGCAGUCACAUCCACACUCAGCCCAAUUCUCCACCAUUAUGAGACAACAGCAACAGAGUCUCCGUCCUUUUUCUCCUUUGUUACAGAAUGUUCAGUAUUUUGCUGGAGAUUAAAACCCAGAGAACUUUUACUUUGAAAGGAUACAUUUGUUUCAGUGUUCUACACGAGACACGUGUAAUAAAUACAUUAAGCAAUACACUGAGGUCAAACUGGUGUCCCUGCCCAUGGCAGGGGGUUGGAAAGAGAUGACCUCAAAUGUCCCUUCCAGCCCAACCCACUCCAUGACUCCGCUAUCUGCAGCAGGCUAAAGCACUGCAAUAAGGACACUUUACACUGAACGUCUGAGAAAUUAUCAACAGCCUUUCAGGUUUUUAUAACUGUAAAAUCAGAAAACUGACUUCAUAUUGGAGAAACAUUUCAGUGCAGCACAAAUGCAUAUUUUAAUCAUAAUUUUAAAAAUAAAACCAGUGCCAUAAGUUUUGCCAACUGCCUCCCGAGGUGUAGGAAUUUAUAGCUGCCUACUAAAUGCACUGAGGCAGAAUGAGUUUAAUGAGAUGAAAAGUUCAUCUUUGUACUCACUUCCUUCACUCUCAUAUGAACUGGCAAGAUUAGCAAUAGUGUCUCUACAUUCAUUUAUACCAGCUAUUUUAUUUAUUUCCCAGGGCGCAGAGACAGAAGUUGCUCAGCCAUGGGAAGACCCGCCAUGCUCUCCCUCUCACUGGCCACGCCAUGGAUCUGUGCAGCAAUGGAGCACCUGAAUGCAGUAAUGGAGGAGAAAGAAGAAAGCAUUGCCAUCCUUCUAUUUUGCCAAGAGGAGGAAAACAGCAUGGAGCCAUACGACGCAGAAAAAUGUCUGCAUGCUGAGAGCGGUGCUGCACACAGCUCGUGUCCUGUGCGUGAAUUUCGUUUGCAAAAGAACUGCCGGGAUUGUUCUGCAAAGAGCACCCACUCCUCCAGCCCGGCCCUCCCCGGGCGCUCUCACUGCUUCGCUUCCUCCUUCUGGCUGUGAAGUCUGAAAGGAGCUCACGGAGGAGCAACGGGAUCAGUGCUCCCCUCUCACCCUCUGCUGCAGAAGAAGAAAGAGGUUUGAUUAAGUCCUCUAAAAGUAUUAAGGCUGAAUCAGACCACAAAAAGGAAAACAAACAAACAAACAAACAAACCCGUGCUCUAUGCUCACAAAAAAUGUCACCUUCCUAACGGCUGCAGUCAAAUCCUUUAGAGCCGGUAUUUACAAUCAAAUGUAUUCAAAUAUCUCCGAGCCCUAACGCAGAUGACACCAAAAGGACCAUUUGCUAUAACUUAAACAAGUGCUCUGUAGUUCUCGGUUUAGCUCCUAAGGAAAACCGAAGGAAGGACCUACUGCCAGGGAUGCACACACACACACACACACACACACACACACACACACGCAUAUUUCAUCCAACCCACCGCUACCAGCCCCGGGUCGCACUGAUUAACACUUUUCACGUAAACACACUUUUUCUUCCUUGAAAUGUUAAUGCCUGCUUAGUGCAAGGUGAAAGUCUAUCCAAAGACCGAAUCCCUUAAGAGUGUUAAUUAAACAGGACAAUAAUAAUCCACCGGUGAUUUAUGGCGAGGUGGAUGACUAGACCAUAGUGGUUGGUCUGAUAGGCAUUUAUUGCCUACUUAACCAUUUAAGUAUAACAAAAAAAAUCAUUGUGGUACAAAAGGUGAUGAAUGUUGCUGCUAAAACAGUCCAUUAAGAUGAUUCAUUAACAUUACAAAGAGGUCUGCAGCCUCUGUGCCACUUGGAGCCCGUAAAAGUCUGGGAAAGUGAGAGACAUUACCAUAGGAAAUGCUUUAUGCUAAAUGCGUGCUGAUAGAAUCUGAAGUCCACUUUCUGCAGAUAACAUCACUUUUUACAUUUUGCACUACAAGGUCCGAGGAUGCUUUGUACUUCUUAUUUCUGCAGCUAGAGAAUGUAUCUUCCUAACAGAGCAGCGCGGGAGGAGAGGAGUAAUAAAAGUCACAAUGCUCUGGCACACAUCUGAGCCUUUCAUACUUCCCUUUGAACUGAUGUCACUGGAAUGCCGAACCGCUGGUUGCACCACUGCGGAGCGACCGAGAGCCAUGAGUUAUAGUCACAGUGGUUACAACUUUAUUAAAUGCACACCAAGAAAAGCUACUACAAUGAUCUUCCCAGGUCAAAUAACAGCGGAUUCCUGCUGUGGGACAGCAAGGAGAUGUGCCACGGAUGGAUGAUACAUGAAACAGUAUAAGGGUUAAAUCAGAGUGUAAAUGUAUCUAAAAAUACCAAAUUAUGAUCUCAGUACCUUCCUAACAAGUGAUUCCCAGUAACUAAUGAAGCCUGACUCCUUAUGGAUUUAUGCCACAUCUCUCACACCUCCCCAUCAGAACAACACCCACUGUCCUCUGCCAUAGCUGUGCUGUAAUAACGCCCCGGUGUCCCUUAGCCAGCCCCAGGCUUUUUGGAUUUGCCAGCUGAAGAAAACAGUGCAUUUGCUAAGGAGUGAUAGAGUGAUCUGCAAAUCAGAAUCAUUUGCUGCUGUCAGCCAUGAUGAAGAAUUGCUAAAUUCUGCCUUCUUCUCGAUGGGAGCAUUAAUAAGAACUCCCUCCUCUUGGUAGGUGCUAACUCUUGCAAAAUUGCUAAGGACACAGCACCUUUGAAACUCCUCUGCAACCUGUGACAAAUGUGUCAGCAUAUUGGAAACUGGGUCAGACAAAUAAGGAGAUUGUGUAAGCAGUUCCCCAGGGAGCCAGACGAAGAGGCAUGAUAGGAUCUCCACUGACCAGAAGUUGCUAGAGUCUUGUUUAUGUACUUCAUCUGAGGUGGAGCAUCCCCCAGUGCUUCCUCAAUUACAGGAAGUGUGUGCAGCACCUGUUCAGACUACCUGGGCUAGCUGCAAACAAGCUAGACUGGGUUCCAGGAGCACAGGACACUUGCUAACAAAUUCUGCUUCUCAGUAUGUAAUUAGCCUACUUUACUUCUCAGUAAAUGAAUUAGCACAGCUACACUACA
Gallus gallus (chicken) is the source of this 9470-nucleotide long non-coding RNA. The record is from Ensembl. Lineage: Eukaryota; Metazoa; Chordata; Aves; Galliformes; Phasianidae.